RNAcentral lists this unclassified non-coding RNA (756 nucleotides) under Hevea brasiliensis (rubber tree). Lineage: Eukaryota; Viridiplantae; Streptophyta; Magnoliopsida; Malpighiales; Euphorbiaceae. The record is from RNAcentral.
CAGUAUUCCAUCCCAGACAUUGUUCAGAUGUCUCCUGCAUGUCGUGACCUGAUUUCUCGAAUUUUUGUUUUUGAUCCUGCAGCUAGGAUUACCAUUCCACAAAUCAAGAACCAUGAGUGGUUUCUGAAGAAUCUGCCGAUGGACCUAAUGGAUGAGAAGACAAUAGGCAACCAGUUUGAGGAGCCUGAGCAACCCAUGCAGAGCAUUGAUACCAUAAUGCAAAUAAUUUCUGAGGCCACCAUACCAGCUGCUGGGGCCCAUGACCUUAAUCGGUAUAUGGCAGACAACCUUGACAUGGAUGAUGACAUGCUGGACUUUGAUUCUGAAUCUGAGCUUGAUGUGGAUAGUAGCGGGGAGAUAGUUUAUGCACUGUAAUCACGGCAUUUCUUUACAAGAGGUGGUGGUUCUUCAGGCUUGUGGACAUAUCAAGAUCUAGUCAAAAAAAUGCAACCUAGAAUGUGCUAGGUUAGCAUAGAAAAACAGCUUAUGAAAGUGCAAUAUAUGCUUUGGGUCUGUCAUGCUCACAAUAUGAAUGUUCUGUUCCUUUCUGUGUGGAGGGAUUUCAUCUUAUUGCUUGAAAAGGGCUGGUAAGCGGUAUGAAUUCUCGAACUUGGGAUAUGCUCCUGUUGCCAUCCCGAUGAACUGACUAUUUAUUAUUUUUUUCACUGGUCCUGUGCUUUUUGUUUUUUACUGUUCUGGUAUAAAUUAUGUAUGCUUUAUGUAACAGUUGCUUAUAAAUUUUAAUAUAUAUUUUGC